GACGAACGCUGGCGGCGUGCCUAAUACAUGCGAGUAGAACGCUGAAGGAGGAGCUUGCUUCUCUGGAUGAGUUGCGAACGGGUGAGUAACGCGUAGGUAACCUGCCUGGUAGCGGGGGAUAACUAUUGGAAACGAUAGCUAAUACCGCAUAACAGUAGAUAUCGCAUGAUAUCUACUUGAAAGGUGCAAUUGCAUCACUACCAGAUGGACCUGCGUUGUAUUAGCUAGUUGGUGAGGUAACGGCUCACCAAGGCGACGAUACAUAGCCGACCUGAGAGGGUGAGCGGCCACACUGAGACUGAGACACGGCCCAGACUCCUACGGGAGGCAGCAGUAGGGAAUCUUCGGCAAUGGACGGAAGUCUGACCGAGCAACGCCGCGUGAGUGAAGAAGGUUUUCGGAUCGUAAAGCUCUGUUGUAAGAGAAGAACGAGUGUGAGAGUGGAAAGUUCACACUGUGACGGUAUCUUACCAGAAAGGGACGGCUAACUACGUG
This 495-nucleotide ribosomal RNA is filed under the name uncultured bacterium. RNAcentral's name for it is "partial 16S ribosomal RNA". It matches the Rfam family "Bacterial small subunit ribosomal RNA", at positions 28 to 507 of the family's 1533-position model. The record is from RNAcentral.